AUGGAAGCUUGGAAGCAACAGACACCAGGACCCGAAGGCAGAGCGCUGCACCCACUGCCCAAAGCACCCUCAGGUGGGUGGCUGUGGAAGAAGGAGCUCUGGAUGCCCUGUGCCAGGGGAACUGGAUCCCUCUCAGCUGCCAGGUACAGGGUGGGAGCAGAGGUGCCCCCAGGACCUCACCCAGCCUCCCACAGCAAGGAGUGGUCCCCUGCCCACGCCCAGCCUUGCCCUCCCACUCCCACCAACAUUUCGCUUUGCUCCCACUUCACCGGGACCUUCCCUUCUCAUCCUGUAGGGGUUGGUGGAGGAAAACUCCCCGUGUCACAUGGCAGAGAACAAAAGGAGAUGUUUUUAACUGAGCAGAUUCAUCUUUGGCAAGAACAGGGCGAUGCCACACCAGCCUCGCUUCUCCCACAGGAAUCGGUCCGGCACAAACGUGGUGGGUUUGCUGACAAGGAGCACAUCCCAUCCACUCCAACCCUUCCACCUCUGGCAGCUGCCAGGAUGGGACAAAUCUGGGGCUUGGUGCAGGCAAAAGAUGGAUAUCACACCAACAAAAUGAAGGGAAAACCCAAGAUCCAAGCAAACAGCAUUGCACCAGGAGCUCAGGGUUUUCCUGAGACGAUACCAUCCUCCACGAGAAUUCCCAGGCGUCUUCACCAUUCCUGGCACAGCUCUUGUGCCAAAAUGCCACGAGAAAGGAAAAACACGGCCACAAGGAGCAUGGCUGCCAGUGCUUGGCCAACCGUGUCCUCAGCAGGAGAAGACAAAGCUUUCCCACACUGUGAUUUCCCUGAGAUCCUCUGCUGCGUUUCCAGCAGAUGGGAAGGAUUUCACAAGCCAUGGGAAACAGCUGGGGAGGCUCCUCUCAGUCAACACCACCCCACAUCUCCAAUGUCCCCACCAGUACCAGGUCACCACCUGCCCCACCACUCCCUCCCAUCCCCAACACCAUUAAAAGAGGUCCUCGUUUUCCUACCUGGUGCUGGGAACAUCUACGAGUCAGGUUCCUCCAGCAGCUCCAUGGUGAGCUCGGGGUUGUCUCAGCACAGCUGGAAGAUAAAGCCACCAAGAGAAAAGCUCAGUGUCCCUGCAGAGGUGGCGUUUUUCAGGGCAGGCUCCUCCUGCAUGGCCGCUGGGAGCCCAUCCUGCAGGAGCCGUGGGGCUCUCCACGUCCUCCUGGGCUGGUGA
RNAcentral lists this long non-coding RNA (1191 nucleotides) under Cyanistes caeruleus (blue tit). RNAcentral describes it as "lncRNA (ENSCCEG00000001458.1)". The record is from RNAcentral. Lineage: Eukaryota; Metazoa; Chordata; Aves; Passeriformes; Paridae.